RNAcentral lists this long non-coding RNA (38005 nucleotides) under Physcomitrium patens. RNAcentral's name for it is "long non-coding RNA (PPAT_LNC001789)". Lineage: Eukaryota; Viridiplantae; Streptophyta; Bryopsida; Funariales; Funariaceae. The record is from RNAcentral.
UUUCCAAUCAAUCUCACUAUUCUAAUUUUAUGUUUAAUAAUGAUACUUCUUUAUUCCAAAAAAGAGAUUCUAGCAACCUAAAUAGAGUAACAAAUACAUUAAAAAAAUUUAGCCAAAUUUCAAGGAUAAAAAUUAAUUGGCAUAAAACAAAAAUAAUAUGGACAUUAUAGAGAAUAAAAGAUUUCAAAUGAAAACAGCUACAAGGUCUCACUUGGAUAAGACUAAGAAUAAUAGUACAAUACUUGGGAUUUUCAAUUAGAUUUUAUAUGUCACUAGAGAACAAAAUCAAAAUAAUCUAACAAGUUAUCUUCGAAUUUAUUAAAUGGAGGUCCAAGUAAUUAUCACUUAUAAGAAGAAUUAUGAUUAUGAAUCAAGUAAUCCUAAUCUCUAUAUGAUAUAUAGCCUCAUAUUAUCAAGGACACAAACUAAAAGAAGAUUCAUAAACUUAAAGAAAUUUGUGUCAAAAAAAAAAUCACAAAAUAGAAGAAAGUAUAUAUAUUCAAAAAAAAAUUGGAAUGGCUAUUGCCAAUGACUAGAAAAUAUAAGAUUCUUGAAACUAGACUAAAAAUAAGAAAAGAAUUGAUAAGAGUGAAGAAGGCCUUACUCUUGCCUCUAUAUAUACUGUUUAAUUAAGAACUAUGAGGCGACAUGCUAUAGGACUUCUAAAAUGUGUCCAACUUACAAAACACAUGUCUUAUUUGGAAGGCAAGUUUUCCAAGUGUACACCAUAUGUCAAAUUUAUAAUAUAAGUGGUCAACAUAUUAACACGUGGCCUCCAUGUUGGCUAAGUUUUCAACCUACCAAUCACCUAUAGACAUAUAUAAAGGCAAAGCAACAUCUAUGAAGCUUUUCACAAGAUUUUAUCAUAUUUAUCUACUUUGAUUUACUUCUUCUAUUCUUAUUAUCUAAAUAAUUAUCAGGAUAAAUAUGUAUGUCCGUGACAUUAUCCCCUCUUCUAGCGACCAAUUCCAGAAGGAACGAUGAUUACAUGUUGAUGAAAUUUAAGAUGUAUCAAACUAUAUUUUCCAUGUAUUCUAAUCUUUGAUUCCUUCGAAAGCAGUUAAUAGGUCCCUUCAACCAUCAACAAUGUCUCAUAUUAGGGCGAGAAGAUCAUCCUAAUAUUUGAUCAUUAUUCAGGCAUUCAUAACUUUCUUUAAAUAAAAUAUUGGUAAUACCAUUAAGUGUAGUUCCUACUUCCAAAAGUAUUACUAAACACUAGAAGUCUCUUUCAAGGUUGUGGUACCAAACACAUUGUAUCUUGCCAUCUAUUUGAGGAAGAAUAUGUCAUUCUUGAUGAUCUUCAUUUCGAUUUUAUCAUCUUAAAGAUUGUGAUAGUCACAAUGUCUAAUCUGGUAGCUCAACAAAUGAUAGCUCUUGAAUUGAAUCUGUUGGUUGUUGGUUCUCCAUCUCCUAUGCAUUUUAAAAUCCAAAAGAACAAUAAUACAAGAUAGAAUGAAAUCUCCAUUGGACUUUCUUUGCUUUAUAGCAAAGAAUUUUUUUACUCUUCAUCUUAGUUUUGAUCGAUGUCAUUGAUGAAAAGCUUUAACUUUGGCUAAUGCAUUUUCUAGAUUCUUGGAUAGCUCCCAUAUGUAUUCAUAAAUGUCAUAUCCAUGCCAAUGUACAAGAUAUUCUAAUCUAUUUUGGUGCCACAUUGAAUCUAUGACUUCUUCUGCCUCAAAUUCUUCAUUAUUGUCCUCUUCUAUAGAAGGUGGUGGCAAUUGUCUCCUUCCUUGUAUAUCCAUUGUCUUGUAUGGUUCAAGUAAAGAUAAAUGGAAUACAUGAUGGAUUUUUAUAGACUCUAGUAGAUAUAAUCAAUAAGCAAUAAGAUUGAUCUGUUCAUAAAUGAGAAAUGGUCCAAACCUAUAAUAAUCCAACUUGUCACAAAAACAAACAGUUUUGAUAUUGUGACAGAGUAAUCAUAUCUUAUCCCCUACAUGCAAUUGAUGUUAUUCCUUGCAAUAGACAUUUGCAUUGACUUUAUUUUUGUUCUUGAGCUUCUUUUAAUUGUACCUUCAUUGUUAUAUGUAGCUAUGACAAUCGAUUUACCACAUCUUUUGCCACAAGAUUAUCAACUUUUAAAAAAUCAAAGGUAUCAAAUCAUGGAUGAUAACAAUAAUUGAUAAAAAAAGAUGUUUGUUGAAUAGAAAAAUAUACCAAAUUAUUGUAAGCAAACUUUGCCAAUGGCAAAAGAGUUGUCCAAUCAUCUCAUUGAUAGUUGAUGGUAUACCUCAAAUACUGUUCUAAAACUUGAUUUACCCGUUUUGUUUGUUUAUCAGUUUGAAGGUGGAAAGCCAAAGAUAGUAUUAUAUCCAUCUUCAAUAUCUUCAAAAAAUUUCUCCAAAAUCUUGAUAAAAAUUGAAUUCCUCUAUUUGAUAUAAUCUUCCAUGGUAAUCUAUGAUAGCAAUAGAUAUUGUCAAGGAAGAGUUUAAUGGUUCUUUCAUCUGUGAUAGAUUUUGUAUAUGGUACAAAAUGUGCCAUCUUGGUGAAACAAUCUACAAUCAUGAAUAUGAAAUAAUAUGAAUUUAAAAUUGAAAGAUCCAUGAUAAAAUCCAUAGAGAUAAAAGACCAUGAUUGUUGUGAUAUAGGUAAUAAUUAGAGGAGUCCAUAAAGUUGAUGACAAGGAGUUUUUGAUCUUGAACAAAUAUCAUAUGUCUACACAAAUUCUUUAAUAGCCUUCUACAUUUGAAGCCACCAAAAAUCUCUACAUGUAAGUUCCAAUGUCUUAUUAUAUCCAAAAUAUCUUGUUGUAGAGAAAUUAUAACAUGUUUUAUAGAACAUGUAAUUGUCCUUCUCUAUCAAGGACAAAAACGUGAUAAAGAUAAACAAACAAGUGAGACUUCUCUCAUAGAAAGAUGAGAAAAUAAAAAUAACUUGAUAUAUAUAUAUUAAGAAAGAAACUGGAAUGGCUAUUAUCAAAAGCCAAGAAAAUUAGAGACCCUUGAAACUAGACUGGAAGCAAGAAAGGAGUUGACAAGAGUGAAGAAGGCUUCACUCUUGUCUCUAUAUAUACUAUCUAACUAGGGACUACGUGGCAACAUUCUAUAGGACCUCUAAUAUAUGUUGACUUUGUAGGACACAUGCUUUGACUUACAAGAUAAGUUUUUCUACCUGUGGGCCAUAUAGUUAGCUUGGUCUUCAAGCUAACAACAUGUGUGGUACAUGGCAAACUUGUUGACCAUGUUUUUAAUCCAAAAAUUCAAUUAAAGACACCUAUAAAGUCAAAGCAACAUCUAUGAAGCUUCUAGGAAGCUUCGAUACCAAAUACUAUAAAAUUAACUUAUUUUUAUCUAUUUUUACUUCUAUUUAUUUAUAUAUGUAAUUAUUGGCUUACAUGUAUAUAUCCGUGAUAUUACCUCUUUCUAGGAACGAGUUCCAUGAGGAGCGGUCAUCAUAUGUUGAGGAAAUCUAUGAUGCGACGAAUUAUAUUUGCCACAAACUCUGAUCUUUGUUCUCUAUGAAGAUGAUUGAUAGGGCCUCUAAAUCAUCGGUAGUGUCCCAUACCAGGGCGGGAAGACCACCCAGUUAUUUAAUCAUUGAUGAGGCCUUCAUAACUUCCUUUGAAUAAAAAAUUUAGAACACCAUCAAGAGUUGUUCCUACCUCUAGUAAAAUCACCAAACAUCGGGAGUCUCUUCCAAGGUCGUGAUACCAAAUGAGUUGUAUUUUGCCAUCUAUUCGAAGAAGAACAUGUCGUUCUUGAAGAUCUUCAUCUCAAUUACGUCGUCUUGAAGGUUGUGACAAUCAUAGUGUCUCGUCUAGCAAGUCAGCAAACAAAGGCUCUUGAAUCAAAUUUGCUAGUUGUUGGUUCUCCAUCUCAUGAGCAUCACAACUACAAAGAAGCUACAAACAAGGAUUGAAAGUAGAAUGUUAUCUUGCCUAGAUCUUGUUUUUUUUAUAAAGAAGAUUUUUAUCUUGAUUUUGAUGGAUGUCGUCGAUGAAAAGCCUCCACUGCCUUCACUUCAUUUGUAAGAUUUUUUUAUUGGCUCCCAUGUGUGUUCACUAAUAUCAUAUCCAUGCCAAUGGAAAAGAUAUUCUAAUUUAUUUCGGCGCCACCUUCAAUCUAAGACUUCUUCCAUUUCAAAUUCUUCAUUAUUCUCCACUUCUAUAAGAAGCGGUAGAACUUAUCGUCUUCUUGGUAUGUCCACUAUCUUCUAUGGUUCAAGAAGAGACACGAGGAAUAUUGGAUGGAUUUUCAUUGACUCCGGUGUCGUAUUGAAACAAGUCUAUAUGAUGAAAAUAUAAAUGAAGAAGAUUUAUUAAUAUUUAGUCACCUUGGAUGUUAGAAGCGGUGGCCAAUUCCAGUGCAAAUAUUGAGAGGUCAAGUUCAGUCACUCCAUUAUAGUCAGCCAAGGCAUACUCACCAAUAACAAAAUGCUCCGUUUGAUUCCAGUAACGGGAGUCAGCAGGAAAGGCAAGGACGAAUUCAACGUCAAGUGAACCUAGUUCGGAGAGCCAAUUGGAUCCAAUUUCAGAAGACAUCUAAUCCAGGUCCUAUUAUGGGCCUCUUACUUAGUAUGAGACCUGACUUGGUCGAGCAAUCCAAUGCGGUCCAAUUACGGGGCUUCGAUUUUGUUCAGGCUGUUCUGUUCAUUGUGCCGUUUUGGGAACGUCCUUUUUAUAAAAGAAUCUCUUAAAGGCAAAAAUAGGGGUUAUUUAGGAUUUCUAUAAUAAUUGGGGACCUACCGACAGGGAUAAGAGGAAUAUCAACAAGCGGCCAAGGGACAUUGGUGCGGAUUGCAGCAUAGCCUCACAAUCUGUAAGCGGGGUUGAACUAGAACUUCUUGAGCAUUCGAAAGGACUUGCAGAGACACUAGCGAUAGAUUUUUUACAAUAAGUCGGAAGGACAGAUUGAGGAUCACAACUUGCCAUAGUUCACGGUCUAGGAUUAAGGUAAUUAACAAUAAAGAUAAAAUAAAAAAUAUAAAAUAAAUAAAAUAAAAAUAACAAAAGAGAUUGAAGUUAUAUAGGAUCUCUAGGCAUUUUAUAUUAGAAUUAAGUUUUUACAUUGCAAUCUAAUAUAGAUUGUAUUUGGGUAGUCAAGAACCCGAACGACUGCUUGAGUACUAGCAAAACACCAUACUAGCUCCUACAGCCAGACGCCCGACGCAUUCUCAAGUAAGUUAGCACGAAAUAUGACAUUAGUGGUGAACGCGACGUGAAAGCUUGAGGUAGAAGGUAUUGGAUUUCGUUUGAUUUUAUUUUUAUUUUUAUGGAGAACAAAAAUAAAAAAUUUGAAGGAUCUUUGGGAUGAGUUUCUGGUGGGGGUUCUUCUAAAAGACAAGGUAUGCACAUAGAUCCAUCUAUUGCUAGUAUGUUUCAAGCCUUCUCAUUAUCAAUGUAGCAACAGCAAAGCAAUGAUCGAAAAGAAGCUUUGGCAACCAAAGCAUUGCAAGCAGUGGUCAAUAAAAUUGAUCAAUUUGAUGGAAAGAAUAUUUCAAGGUAUUUAAGAUGUUAUGUUCGUGAAAUGGAAUUAAAUCGGAUUUCUGAGAAGAAAAUGGUUGAAUUAUUUAGACUUGCCACGAUACCGGAGAUAAGAGACCAUAUUACAUUAAUUACGGAUCCUUAUGGGAAUUCAUGGAAAGUUUUUUCACAUGCAUUGAAAGACGAAUAUUUCUUGGAAGAUACUGAUCACGUUACUAAGAAGUCGUUUUUGGAAUGGAUUGAAUGGCCCAAUAAGAAUUUGUAAGCAACAGAGCUACUAAAGAAAUUUGAGAAGCAAUACUCUCAAUUAUCGAAGGUAGAAAAAUUGACAUUGGAGCCGAACAAAGUUGAUCUAUUUCUUCAAGCUGCUGAUGGAGAAUUGCAAGGGAAAUUAGAACUCCUUCUUGAAGACAAAGAAGAAGAUGAAGGAUUGACAACAAAGUGGAAGAACGUUGAAGAUGCAAUGGAGUUGCUUGCAAAAAGAAGAAAGGAGGAAGAAUAGGAGCAAUAUUUCAAAAACAGUACAAGCACUAAAAGCUCCAAUACGUACAACACCACCAACAAUGCCUACAGUUCAACCUUCAACAUCCUUAUCAAAGAAAGCAGAUAUGGAGAUGGAAGAAAUUAUAUGAGGAAUGCGAGAUCUUCAAAUCAAAUUAGCAAGACUUGAAAAGAAUACUUCUACAAAUAAUUUGAAGAAUGUUUCAAAACAAGGAUAUGUACAAAGAUGCAUUUGUUGUGAUGACACUUCACACACUAGAAAAGAUUGCAAUGAAUUUAAUAAUAUGAUACAGCAACGAAUUAUUUGCUAGAAAGAUGGGAAGAUAGCAUUAAAAGAUAGGGAGGAUCUUCUUCAAACUAAUUUUGGCAAAGAAAGAAUGAGAGCAUUAGUUCAAGAUUACUUAAAAGAGCAUGAAACAACAGCAUGAGAAAGUGCAAGUUAUGGUGCUAGAGUAGAUGAUGAAAUUGGUGGAAGUACGAAAACUAGUGAGUUUUAGGCUUCUGCCAUUUCUACAAUACAAGAAGGGAAAUUACCUCGAGAAGCGUUAUUGAGGACUGCAGCUACAAUACGAGGUACAACAGGUUGGGAGGAUCCUGUUGAGUCUCUUUCAGUUCAUGCAUAUAUUGCUAAAAGCCAACAUGAAGCUUUGAUGGAAGAAAAGAGGCGAGGAAAUUUUGAUGAUACAAGAGAAGGAAAUUCUUCUAAGAGGCAAACUCGAGGAGACAAGGCUCGGGAGGUAGCUUCAUAAGAAUUGCCUGUAAAGGAUACCUCAGCAUCAUUGAAAGAAAAAAUAAGGGAGACAAAAGAUAAAGACAAAUCAAUUGCUUAUAAGCUACUUUCUGACAUUGAAGCGGCAACAAAUUUGAAAGGAGUGUUGGAAGAGCAUAUAUUAAACGCUAAGGUAGAAUUCACAUUGAAAGAAGUUUUGAGAAUUGCAAAGAAGGAGUUUCAUGAUGUUAUCAUUAACAGCAUUAAGCGAAAGAGGCAAUUAAUGGACGAAACUGGAAUGAGUCAUGCUAUUGAUACAAGAAUAUAUAAAGAUGAAGAAGAGGUUGAUAUUGGUUACAAGCAACCAACAAAUGAAAAGAAUGGGUAUAAUCAACGAGUAUGUUUUGAAGAUUAUAGAAAUAAGGAAAUAGAAAUUUUGAGCCAUUAUACUUGAAAGCAUUGGACAAAGGCAACUACUGAGGUAUUGGUGAAAGUAGAAGAUAUAGAAGAAGCAAUUGUUGCUUUAGUCGACCGUGGUUCUAAAAUAAAUCUUAUUUCUAAAGAUCUUUAUAAGAAGUAAAAAUGGCCAAUUGAUAUGAAAUAUAGAUGGAUAAUAUGAGCAGCUAAUAAUACACGGGGCAAAUUAUACGGAGCUUGUUCAGAUGUCAAAAUUUGGAUUGGGGAUGUUGCGAUGGAGUAACAUUUCUUUGUUCAAGAUACAACAUCUUAUCCGUUGAUUUUAGGACAACCUUAUAUUAUGGCAAUACGGAUGGAAACAAAAAUACUUGACGAUGGUUCUGCUUAUGGAAGGGUACGUAGCAAAGAUGGGAGGAAAGCUGUAUAAUUUCUAACACUACCUCUUAACCAUGAAUGAAAUCGAGAUAGGUUGAGGGAGAAACCAUUGCCAAAGGUUGUUGAAGGAUUUAAGGCUUUUGGAGAGGUACCACUGUAAAGUGAGAUUAUGGAGGUACAAAAGAGGAGAUACUCUCGCGAGAUGAAGGUGCCUUUGAUGCAAGUUUUAUUGGUAUUUUGGAGAAUGGAAAUAUUAUGUAUAAGAAAGUUGAUGAUUUUAAAAGAAAGGAAAGAAAAAGAUUAUAUAAUAUUGAAGGAGAAUUAUGCAAGUUAGGUACAUUACAAGAUGAUGAGAGGAUUUUAGGUAUUUAUGAAGAAAAUGGACUUGAAGAUUCAUUGGAAUUGAUUACAUCUAUUGGGUUAGGGGAUAAUGAUAAGAUUGUUGAGAUUCAUUCAAGAGAGGUUUAUACCAUACUUAAAUCUUUUCAAGCACUAGAAGUCACUGUAGAGACAAGAUAUAAAAUGACAGAUAAGAAGGUAAAGCCUAUUGCUGGACCAUUACCAUAAGAUUCUAAAGAACAAAUGGGAGAAGCAUCAAAAGAAGUAAGUUUAAGAGAUCCAAUGAGUAUUAGACAUCAGUUUACUAAAGAAAAUUUUGAAGAAUUGAAGAUUGGUUCUGAUGGUUCUUUAUUGUCGGAGGAAAUUACUUGCUUCAAAAAGAUGUUAGCUAAACAAGGUAGACCGUUUGCCUUCGAAUCUUAUGAAAUUGAGUGUGUGGAUCCGAAUAUUAUAAUACCUAUGGUUUUCUUCACUGUAUCGCAUGUACCUUGGAAUCUAAGACCGAUUCCAGUACUGAGGGCACAUUUACCUAAAUUGGUGGAACUAUUAAAAGAAAAGAUGAAGAUGAAAAUAUUAGAAUCUUCAUUCGCGCCGUAUUCUAGUCGAUGGUUUACGGUACCUAAGAAGAAUGGGUCACUACGGUUUAUUCAAGAUAUGCAACCGAUGAAUGCAGUAAUUGUCAGGAAUGCAGGAAUUGGACUUAUUGUGGAUGAAUUUGCUGAGGCAUUUGUAGGAAGGGCGAUCUAUUCAAUGGGUGACUUGUAUUCACGUUAUGAUCAAUUUCAACUUGCCGAAGGAAGUAGAGAUAUGACAACAAUGAGGACACCACUUGGAUUGGUUAGAAUAUGUACUUUUCCUCAAGGCACGACCAACUGAGUUGCGCAUAUGAUGAAUGGGAUGAAUAAGGUAUUGAGAGAUUUUAUUCCGGAGAAGACUAUGCCUUUUUUGGAUGAUGUUCCUAUAAAAAGGUGCAGAGAAGGAGACAAGGAUGAAACUUUAGAUAAGAGGGGGUGUCGCAAAUAUGUUGUUGAUCAUAUACAAGAUUAUGAAAAGAUUUUAACUCGGCUUGGAAAAGUUCAUUUUACAUUAUCGGGUAUGAAGUCCAUAUUUGGAGUACAAGAGGUUGUGAUUGUUGGACAUUUAUGUGGAUCUUAUGGAAGAAAACCAGAUCCGACUAAAGUUGAUGCAAUUGGAAGGAUGAAAGAGGAUUGUGAUUCUUUAAGAGAGGUUCGCAGGUUUUUAGGUGCAUGUGUAUUUUAUUGAAUCUGGAUCCCUCAUUAUGCUCACAUAGUGGAUCCAUUAUAUGAACUGUUAUGCAAGGGCUAUCGAUUUAAACGGGAAGAAAGGCAAAUUCAAGCAAUGCAAAGAUUGAAGAAAUUAUUGAUGUCACCUCCAAUAUUGAGGAAGGUUGAAUAUAAGUGCAAUAGACCAGUAAUUCUUAUUGUGGAAACUAGUCCAAUUGCCAUUGGAUGGACUGUGGGUCAAGAUGAUUCAAGUGGGAAUAGAUUUGCAGUUCAAUUUAGAGCUAAAAUUUUAAGUAUUUGUCAGCGUACAUAUUCGCAAGUCAAAAGAGAACUUUGGAGAGUUGUUUCGGCUAUGAAAGCUGAAAAAGACUAUUUGAUUGGGGCAGUAGUAGUAAUUGAAACACAUUGCUUGCCAUUGCUUAGAAUGAUUACUAACUGUUCAAUGCCAGAUAUUGUAAUGUUGAGAUGGAUUGCUUAUAAUAAGUCACUAUAUCCGAAAUUUAAGCAUGUUACUGGGAAGGACAAUUUAGUAGUAGACAUGCUAUCUUGAGUAAGAUACGAGAGAGAGGACGAAAUGGUUGAAGAUAUUGAUGACAUCAAAUUGAAAUUCUAUUCAAUAUCAAAUCUCAACAGAGAAGACAACCUAUUUCUUGAAGAAUCUUAUGAAGGAAAAUUAUUUGAUAUUGGUCAUUACUUGAAUACUUUGACUGAGUAGGGGAAUUGGUCUACAAAAAAAUAUUUUAACAAAUAAGAAAAAAUACAUAUGGAUUUUUGCUUCGAGAUGGAUUCUUAUGGAAGAGACUAAAAAAAGGAAUUGAGAUGCCACAACGAGUGAUAGGCAAAAAAAGAAGAAAAAUUAACAUUAUUAAAGAAGUUUCAUGAUAGUUUAUGGACACGGCAUAGAGGAAUGUGGGCUACUUUUGCUAAAGUCAAGGAACGAUAUUGGUGGAAAAAUAUGUAUUGAGAUGUGCUCUCAUUUGUAGAGUCAUGUAAAAUCUGUCAAUCGUAUUCUAAUAUCUGACAUCGAGAUGGUCUUCAUCCUACGUAUCCUUUGGCUAUUCAUUUUAAAUGGAUUGUUGAUUUAGUUAUUAUGCCAGUUGGGUUAUGGCAGAUGAGAUAUUUGAUCUUAGCUCGUGAAGAUUUAUCAAAUCAAGUAGAGGAAGAGCAUUGAGGACAAAAUCUAUAGAGGGGAUUUGUAGGUUUUUGCUUGAAGAUGUCAUUUGCUUCUACGGAUGCGUAGGAAAAAUCACUGCAGAUCGUGGAGAAUUAAAUGUAUAAGAAGCUUGUAAGUUGUUUGAAAGAUGUGAAGUUAAACUAUCACUGACUACUGCUUAUAAUCCGGAAGGGAAUGCAAAAAGUAAAUGUGGUCACCUACCGAUUGUGAAAGCAUUGGUUAAAGCUUGUAAUGGAAAAGUUAGAGAGUGGCCACAGCUUUUGUCAUUUGCAUUAUGGGCUGAUCGAACAACACAUAGUUUGGUGACAAGAUAUAUGCCAGUAGAACUUAUGACAAGUCGAAAAUCAAUUAUGUCGAUUGAAGAAAAGGUACUUACUUGGAGUAUGCUACCAUAGAAAGAUGGAUUGACAAGAGAAGAACUUCUGGCUAUUAGGAUUCGACAAUUGGAGCAAAGAUCGGAAGAUGUGCAAAUAGCAUUGGAAAGGUUAAAAAGAGCAAGGUUACAAACAAGGUGCGAUUCGAUAAGCAACAUCGAUUGAGACCUAAAGUAAUUGAAGAAGGUGAUUGGAUACUUAUUUAUGAUAGUAGUCUGGACAACCAAUAUAGCACUUUACGGAAGUUUUUAAAAUGUUGGUUUGGACCAUAUGUCGUAACAACUGUUCAUAAUAAUGCGACUUAUUCAUUGCGGGAGUUAGAUGGUACAAGAUUAAAAAUACCAAUUGUAGGGAAGAGAAAGAAAUUGUUUAAACAAAUUUAUACAGAAAUAAAUAUAGAAGACCUUAAUGAAGACAUAGAUAUUCCGCAGUGGGAAGAUGAAAUUGAUUGGAUAGCAGAGACAAUGAAGAUGGAUUAGACGAAGAUUUGGAGAACAUAUUAUGAAUUAAAUGACAACUAGGUUAAUUGGUGCAUACCAAAGGAUGCACAGGUUCAAAGGAGGUGGAUGUCGUGUUGUAACACGUCUAUAUGAUGAAAAUAUAAAUGAAGAAGAUUUAUUAAUAUUUAGUCACCUUGGAUGUUAGAAGCGGUGACCAAUUUCAGUGCAAAUAUUGAGAGGUCAAGUUCAGUCACUCUGUUACAGUCAACCGGGGCAUACUCACCAAUAACAAAAUGCUCCAUUCGAUUCCAGCAACGGGAGUCAACAAGAAAGAAAAGGACCAAUUCAACAUCCGGUGAGCCUAGUUCAGAGAGCCAAUUGGAUCCAAUUUCAGAAGACAUCUAAUCCAGGUCCUAUUAUGGGCCUCUUACUUAGUAUGAGACCUGACUUGGUCGAGCAAUCCAAUGCGGUCCAAUUACGGGGCUUCGAUUUUGUUCAGGCUGUUCUGUUCAUUGUGCCGUUUCGGGAACGUCCUUUUUAUAAAAGAAUCUCUUAAAGGCAAAAAUAGGGGUUAUUUAGGAUUUCUAUAAUAAUUGGGGACCUACCGACAGGGAUAAGAGGAAUAUCAACAAGCGGCCAAGGGACAUCGAUGCGGAUUGCAGCAUAGCCUCACAAUCUAUAAGCGGAGUUGAACUGAAACUUCUUGAGCAUUCGAAAGGGCUUGCAGAGACACUAGCGAUAGAUGUUUCACAAUAAGUCGGAAGGAUAGAUUGAGGAUCACAGCUUGCCAAAGUUCACGGUCUAGGAUUAAGGUAAUUAACGAUAAAGAUAAAAUAUAAAAUAUAAAAUAAAUAAAAUAAAAUAAAAAUAACAAAAGAGAUUGAAGUUAUAUAGGGUCUCUAGGCAUUUUAUAUUGGAAUUAAGCUUUUACAUUGCAAUCUGAUAUAGAUUAUAUUUGGAUAGUCAAGAACCCGAUAGAUUGCUUGAGUACUAGCGAAACACCAUACUACCUCCUAUAGCCAAACGCCUGGUGCAUUCUCAAGCAAGAUAGCACAUAAUACGACACCGGUAGAUGUAAAUGAUAUGCAACUAGUUUGAUUUGUACAGAAAUAGGAAAUAGUCCAAGCCUUCAAUAGUCCAACUUGUCACAAGGACGAGUAGUCUUGAUAUUACGACGAAGUAGCUAUACCUUAUCACCCAAGUGGAAUGAUGGUUGUUCCUUUUGAUAGACAUCUGCAUUGACCUUUUGUUAUUCUUGAGCUUCUUUUAACUGUGCCUUCAUUGUUGCAUGUAGCUCUGACAAAUAAAUUGCCAAAUCUUUCGUGGUAAGAUCAUUAACUUUUGAAAAGUCAAAAGUAUCAAGUUGUGGAUGGUAACCAUAAUUAGCAAAGAAAGGUGUUUAUUUUCUAGAAGAAUGUACUAUGUUAUUGUAAGUAAAUUCUAUCAAUGGCAAAAGAGUUGUCUAAUCAUCUUAUUGGUAGUUAAUGGUAUAUCUUAAAGAUUGCUCCAAAACUUGAUUAACACGCUCCGUUUGUCUAUUAGUUUGAGGAUGGAAUGUCUAAGAUAGUUUUAUAUCCACUUUUAAAAUCUUGAAAAGAAUCUGCCAAAAUUGUGAUAUAAAUUGAGUUCUCCUAUCUAAUAUAAUAUCCUUGGAUAAUCCAUGAUAGCGAUAGAUAUUGUCAAGAAAGAAUUUAGCUAUUUUUUUACAUGUAAUAGAUUUUGUACAUGGUACAAAAUAUGCCAUCUUAGUAAAACGAUCUACUAUCAUGAAUAUAGACUCAGAAGAACCUGAGAUUGGAAGGUCCAUGAUGAAGUCUAUAGAAACAGAAGACCAUGGUUGUUCUGGAAUGGAUAAUGGCUGAAGAAGUCCGUAAGGUCGAUGAUGAGGAGUUUUUGAUCUUGAGCAAACAUCACAUGAUUGUACAAAAUCUUUGACUGCCUUCUACAUUUGAGGCCACCAAAAAUCCCUAGAUAUUAGCUCCAAAGUCUUAUUGUAUCCAAAAUGUCCUACUGCUAGGAAGUCGUGACGAGCUUGAAGAAUACGUAAAUGUGCUUCUUCUUGUGGAACAUAUAGGCAUCCUUCGAAAUAGAAUAGGUUGUUUUUGAAGUCGAAUUUAGAGGGAUCAUGAGAUGUAGAAGAAUUAUUCUUGAUAUCAUGAAUAAGAGGGUCUGAAGACAUACUUAACUGGACUUGCUUGAGAAAAAUUAAAUCAAUUGUCAAUGUUGAAUUUAUUGCUCAAAGAUGAAAUUGCUUUGGCUUCAAGAGUAUCAUUCUUUAUUAUUCAAAAGUUGCAUCUCCUUCUUUCGGUGCAAGAUAAAAACGUCUAGAAAAGGCAUUGGACAAACCUUGUUGUUUUCUUGACCGAUAAGUGAUGAUGAAUUCGAAUCUUGAUAAAGACAUGCUCCAACAAGCUUCAUGAAGAUUUAAUACGCGUGUUGACAUGAAAUACUCAAGAUUCUUGGGAUUCAUAUACAUGGUGCUUGGAUCAGAAGCGCCUUUUAGAUAAUGAUGCCAUUCUUGAAAAGAAUCCACAUUUGCAAGAAGUUCUUUGUCAUGGAUCUCAUAAUUGAUUCAUGCUGUUGAGAAUUUUCUUGAAUGAAAGGCAAUUGGAUGAAGUUUGUCAUUUGUUCUCAUUUGUGACAAAAUUGCAUCUAGAGCAAAGUCUGAUGCAUCUGUUUCCAUAAAGAAUGCUUUUGAAAAAUCUACACAAUACAAAAUUGGUGCAGAAACAAACGCUAUCUUCAAAGAUUCAAAAGUAACUUUUGCUUCUUGAUUCUAUUCGAGUUUGUCUUUACAAGUCAAACGUGUAAGUGGAGUUGGAACUCGAGAGAAGUCUUUGAUGAAGAUCUGAUAGUAAUUGGCAAAUCUCAAAAAGCAUUGGACAUCUCUUACCAUUUUUGGGAUAUUCCAAUCUAUAAUAGUUUGAACUUUCUUAAGAUCCAUCAAAAGUCCAUCAUUUGAAAUGAUAUAAUCUAAGAAAUUAACUUGAGUAGUGUGGAAUACAUACUUUUCUAUCUUGGCAUAGAGUCCCGCAUCUCUUAAUUUUUGUAACACACGACAAACAUAAAGUUUAUGUUCUUCUAGAUUCUUAGAAUAGAUCAAGUUGUCGUCUAGAUAACAGACCAUAAAAUCGUCCAAAAAUUCUUAAAAAAUAUCAUUCAUUACAUGUUGAAAGCUAUCGAUGCAUUUGUAAGUCCAAAAGACAUGACAUUGUAUUUGAAAUGUCAGUAUCUUGUUCAAAACGUAGUCUUCGAUUCAUCUCCUUCUUUCAUGCGUACUAGAUUGUAUGCUCCUCGAAGAUCUAUUUUUGUAUAGAUCUUAGCUUGAUUCAACUGAUCAAGAAGUCCAGAUAUUAAAGAUAGUAGAUACCUACUCUUGAUGGUAAUCUUGUUGGAUCCUCAAUAAUCAACACACAUCCACAAUGAUCCAUCUUUUUUCUUCAUAAAUAGAAUUGGAGCUCCUGUCGGAGAUUUAGAAUGGCGUAUGAAAUUCUUGGUUAGAUUUUCUUCAAUAUAGUCCUUGAGUUCAAUCAACUCAUUUUGUCAUAAAUUAUAGAUUGGUCCGAAUGGUAGUUGUGCUCGUUCUUGAAGGUCAAUUGAAGCGUGGACUGUAUCCGCAUUCUUUUUUUUUAAUACAUCUUGAAAUUCUUGAUAUUGGCUUGGAUUGCUACUUGAAGUCUUGUCACCAGUAGAAACAGGUGUGGCAUAAAUAAUAUAUGGUGAUUCUUUCAUAGCAGCAUGCAAGAAAGCUUUUGCACCUAUAAACACGGAUUUAAUUGAAUUGGACUUAUGACUCUCUACUUGAUUAACUACACUGGUAGUUAUACUUUUAGAGAAAGUAAGAGUUCGAGAAAUCAAAUCUAUUUGAGGGUUGUAUUUUUCUAAUCACAAUAAACCUAAAAUGACUAGAUUAGAGGAAGAUCUAAUGAUAUUAAAUACUACAAAGCUAUUAUGACCAUUGAUUAUUACUUCUACAGGAAGGAUUUCGUGAAUAAUAUCUCUAGAAGACAAUGGACGACCAUCUAUGUCUUCUAUAUGAACAGGUUUAGUUUUUUUUACUAAAGAUAUGCUAUGUCUUUUAGUAAAUUCUUCAUCUAAGAAACACGCUGAGGCUCUUGAAUUUAACAAGGCAUAGGCUAUAUAAUGUUUAGAUCCUAAAAUAACAUUUAAUGUAAAACAAGAAGACGAUUCUGAGAAGAAAAUAGGACCUUUACUAGAUGUUGUACAAGGUUCUAACCACACGUCCCUAUUGUAGCUAGACUAACUCAUUUUUUGACAUAUUGUCUUCUUUGACAACCAUACUCCUCAUUUUGUGGUUGUGUCAUUUUUUUGGACAAUGUUGAGUAGUGUGUUUAGGUUCUCCACAAUAUAAAUAUAAUCCUUCUUGACGACGACGAGUCUUUUCUUAUUCAGUAAGAGGUUUGAAACAUACUGCAUCAAUUUGCAUAUCCUCUACUUUCGAAUGUAUGUGUUGAAAAGAUAUUGGUGUUGCUAUUGAAUUAUAGUUACGUUGAGGUCUACUUGUAUGGUUUUCAAAUCGAAAUUCAAAAAGGAGACUGUCAUACUUCACAACAAAGUCAAUUGCUUGGCUCAAUGUUUGAGGAUCAAGUAAGUUGAGCAUUAUUUUUUUACCUCAUAUUGUAAUCCAUAGAAAAAUUGCCUAAUAAGUGCAGCAUCAUCCCACUUGAUAUCAGUUACAAGUUGUCAAAAUUGUGAAGGAUACAAUAUUAUUGAUCGAUUGACUUAUUGUAAAAUAUGGAUCUUAUUGGUUGCAACACAAAUUACAUUAUGUUCUCCAUACAUGGAUCAAAAUUCUACUAAAAAAAUCUCUAUAUUAUCCAAUAUUAGAUCUUGUUGUUCAAAAAAAGAUAAAAACCAUGAUAGUGUUGAACCUGAAAGAAGCGUAUCAAUGAAUCUAACUUGCAAUCUUGGAGUUGGAUAGCUUUGGGGUUGAAGUUCAAUCACAAGUUAUACUUGAUUGAUAAAUCCUCGAAACUUGAAUUUCGUGCCAUCAAACUUCUCGGAUAGAGUAAUUCUUGAUUCUCUAACAUUGGAAGGGCGUUCUACCAUAAGAGAAGGGACAUGAUUUGGUGGAAAUGUUGAAGCAGCUCCAAUCAUUUCUAUAUCUUCACUUUCUACUAAUCUUAUUGCUCCUUGUGGUGGUAAAUUGAGUUGAUGCAUCGCAAGCAUUAACUUCUUCAAUUGUUCUUACAUUUGUGCCAUUGCACUCUUUAUUUUAGCAAGUUCUAUCAUGAUAACACUUAGAUAAGAGAAGAUGUCUUAUAUCGCUCAAGACAAAUAGAAGAAAGGACUUAAGAACAAAGAAAAUACUAAGGACAAUAUCAGUUUAGAAGAGGGUAAUCCGUAACUUCUUAUAUGCUUGUGUCUUAUCAAAAAAUAGGGAUAAUCCACUCUUAAUCAAGAUUAGACAAAGCUCUGAUAUUGUAGGUGUACUCUUGUCAAUCUGUCAAGGAUAAGAACAUAAUAAAGACAAAUAAACAAAUGAGACUUAUCUCAUAGAUAGAUGAAAAAAUAGAAAUAACUUGAUAUAUAUAUAUAUAUAUAAAAAGAAAUUGGAAUGGCUAUUGCCAAAAGCCUAGAAAAAUAGAGACCUUUGAAACUAGAUUGGAAGCAAGAAAGGAGUUGAUAAGAGUGAAGAAGGCUUCACUCUUGUCUCUAUAAAUACUAUCUAACUAGGAGCUACGUGGCGACGUUCUAUAGGACCUCCAAUAUGUGUUGACCUUGUAGGAUACAUGCCUUGACUUAUAAGGCAAGUUUUUUUUACCUAUGGGCCACAUAAUUAGCUUGGUCGUCAAACUAAUAACAUGUGUGGCACAUGGCGAACUUAUUGACCACGUUUUUAAUCCAAAAAUUCAAUUAAAGACACCUAUAAAGUCGAAGCAGCAUCUAUAAAGCUUCUAGAAAGCUUCGAUAUCAAAUACUAUAGAAUUAACUUACUUUCAUCUACUUUUACUUACUUCUACUUAUUUAUAUAUGUAAUUACUGGCUUACAUGAGUAUGUCUAUGAUAUUUUCUUUUUAAAACAUAUAAGCAUCGUUUGAAAUAGAAUAGAUUCUGCUUAAAUUCAAACUUGGAAGUAUCUUAAGACUUAGUGGAAUUAUGUUUAAUAUCAUGAAUAAGAAGGUCUAAAGACAUAUUUGCUUGGAUUUGCUUGAGAAAAGUCAAAUCAAUAGUCAAUGUUGAUUUCAUUGCUUAGAGAUGAAACUGUUCUAGCUUUAGUAAAACUAUCUUUUAUUAAUUAAAAGUUUUUUUUUCUUUUGGUAUAAGAUAGGAACGUCUAGAAAGGACAUCAGACAAACCUUAUUUUUUUCGUGGGUGAUAAUUCAAAUCUUGACAAAAACAUGCUCCAACAAGCCUAGCGAUGAUUCAAAGCAUGUAUUAACAUGAAAUACUUGAGUUUCUUGUGAUCCAUAUAUACAAUAACUAGACUUAAAGUACCUUCUAAAUAAUAAUGCCAUUCUUCAAAAGAAUCCACAAUUGUGAGAAGUUCCUUAUCGUGGAUCUCAUAAUUAAUCUUUGCUGCUGAAAAAUUUCUUGAAUGAGUAGAUACUGGAUGAAGUUUGUCAUCUGCUCCUAUUUGUUAUAAGACUGCACCCAAGAGAAAGUGAGAUGCAUCUGUCUCUAUAAAAAGUGCUUUGGAAAAAUUGACACAAUGAAGGAUUGGUGCAGAAGUAAUAGCUUUCUCCAAAGCUUCAAAUGAUGCUUCUACUUCUUUAUUCCACUUAAGCUUAUUUUUACAAAUUAAGUGUGUAAGUGGGAUUGUAACUUGAGAAAAGUUCUUGAUGAAGAUCUGAUAGUAAUUGGCAAAUCCCAAAAAAUAUUAUACAUCUCUUAUUAUUUUUUGAAUCUUCCAGUCUAUGAUUAUGUGAAUUUUUUUAAGAACCAUCAUUAGACCAUUGUUUGAAAUGAUGUAUCCUAAGAAAUCAACUUGAAUAGUGUAGAAUAUAUAAUUUUUCAUCUUGACAUACAAUCUCGCAUCUCUAAGUUUUUGUAAUACAUGACAAACAUAAAUUUUAUAUUUUUUUAUAUUUGUAGAAUAGAUUAAAAUGUCGUAUAAGUAACAAAUAACAAAAUCAUCUAAAAAUUUACAAAAAACAUCAUUCAUAAGAUGUUGAAAAGCAACUGAUGUAUUUGUUAGUCCGAAAGGCAUGACAUUAUAUUUAAAGUGUCCAUAUCUUAUUCAAGAUAUAGUCUUUCAUUCAUCUCCUUCUUUAAUGUGGACCAAAUUAUUUACUACUUGUAGAUCUAUUUUUAUAUAGAUUUUAGCUUGAUUUAAUUGAUCUAAAAGUUAAGAUAUCAAAAAUAGAGAAUAUCUAUUCUAGAUAGUAAUCUUGUUGAAUCUUUCAUAAUCUACACACAUUUGCAAUAAUCUAUUUUUUUUCUUCACAAAUAAGAUAGGAACUCAUGCAUAAGAUUUUAAAUGGCAUAUGAAAUUCUUGGCCAAAUUUUCAUCAAUAUACUUGAGUUCAGCCAACUCAUUUUGUGAUGAACUAUACAUUGGACCAAAUAGCGGCUGAGUUCCUUCUUUAAGAUCGAUUGAACAAUCAUAUGGAUAAUGCUCCAGAAGAAUGUGUACACAAUUCUUUUCAAAAAUAUCUUAAAAAUCUUGAUAUUGACUUGGAAUUUCAUUUGAAAUCUUUCCAUCAUUUAAAAUAGAUGUAGCAUAGAUAAUAAAAGACAAUUCUUUUUUUACAUCAUGCAAAAAAGCUUUUGUACCUACAAGUACAAGUUUGGCUAUACUAGACUCAUGACUUUGUACUAGAUUAGUAAAACUCUUAGUGAUGUUUGAAAAAAAGUCAAAUUUAUGAGAAAUCCAAUCUAUUAUAGGAUUAUAUUUUUCUAGCAGCAAUAAACCUAAAAUAAUUAGAUUAGUGGGAGAUCUAAUUAUAUUAAAAAUUAUGCAACUAUUAUGACCAUUUAUUACUAUAUCUAUAAGAAGUGUUUCAUGAGUAAUAUUUCAAAAAGAUAACAGACGACUAUCUAUGACUUCUAUGUGUAUGGAUUUAGUUUUUUGUAGUAAGUAUAUAUUAUAACUUUUAAGAAAUUCUUCAUCUAAAAAAUAAGCUGAGGCUCCUGAAUCUAUUAAAGUAGAGGCUUUUUAUUAUUAGAUCCUAAAUGCACAUAUAUUCUAAAAUAAAGAAAAGAUUUUGAGAAGAGAAUAAGACCUUUAUUAGGAAUUACACAAGAUUCUAAUUGCACGGUUCCUAUAGUAGCUGGAUAAAUUCGUUUUUCAACAUGUUUUCAUCUUUGACAAUAGUACUCCUCAUUUUGUAGUUGCGUCAUUUCUUUGGACAAUAUUAAGUAUUGUGCUUAGCUUCUCUAUGAUAUAAACAUAGUUCUUCUUCAAGAUAAUGAAUCUUUUCUUGUUUGAUAAGAAGUUUAAAACAUACUACAUCAAUUUGUAUAUUCUCUACUUCCAAAUUUUUAGAUUAAAAAGUCGUUGGUAUCGUCAUUGAAUUAUAAUAACAUUGAGGUUUCUUUGUGUAAUUCUCAAAUUAAAACUCAAAAAGCCGAUUAUCACAUUUCAUAGCAAAGUCAAUUGCAUGACUCAAUGUUUAAGGAUCAAGUAAAUUGAGCAUCAAUUUCUUUACUUCAUAUUAUAAUCCGUAGAAAAAUUAGCUGAUAAGUGCUACAUCAUUCUACUUGAUAUCUAUUGCUUAUUGUUAAAGUUAUGAAGCAUAUAAUGUCACUAAUCGAUUGCCUUAUUGCAAGAUAUAAACCUUAUUGGUUGCAACACGGAUUGCAUCAUGUUUUCCAUACAUAGAUCAAAAUUCUACUAAAAAUGCUUCCAAAUUAUCUAAUAUUAGAUCAUGUCAUUCAAGAAAUGAUGAAAACCAUAAUAAAGUAGAAUCUGAAAGUAGUAUUCUAAUAAACCUGACUUAAGAUCUUUGAAUUAGAUAACUUUGAUGUUGUAGUUCAAUCACCAGUUGUACCUAAUUGAUAAAUCCUCAAAACUUAGAUCUUGUGCCAUCAAACUUCUCAAGCAAUUAAAUUUUUGGUUCCUUGAAACUUGAACAAUGUUCUAUUGUAGGAAUAGUAAUAUGGCUCGGUGUAGAUAUUGAAACAACUCCAAUCAUCUCUAUAUCUUCAAUGCCUGAUAAUCUUGUUGCUCCUUGUGGUGAUAAAUUGAAUUAUUGUAUUGUAAGCAUUAAUUCUUAUAUUUGUUCUUGUAUUUGAGCCAUUGCAUUCUUCAUUUCAACAAGCUCUGCCAUGCUAGUACAAUAAAAAGAAAGGUGUCUAUUCUCACAAAAUAUAAUAUUCAAGAAUCAAAAAAAUAAAAAUUCUAAAAAUAAUAUUAGUUUAAAAGAGGAUAAUCUGUAACUUCUAAUACACUUACGUCUUAUCAAGAAAAAGGAAUAAUCUACUCUUAAUCAAGAAAGAACAAAGCUCUGAUAUUGUAUGUGUACUCUUAUUAAUUUUUUAAAGAUACAAAUUAGAAGAAGAUACAUAAACUUGUAGAAUCUGUAUCAAAUAGAAAGCGACAAAAAAUAAGAAAGUAUGUAUAUUCAAGAAAGAAUUAGAAUGGCUAUUGCCAAAGACUAAAAAAAUAUAAGACUCUUGAAACUAGACUAAAAGUAAGAAAGGAAUUUACAAGAGUGAGGAAGGCCUCAUUCUUCCCUCUAUAUAUACUACUUAACUAAGAAUUAUAUGGCGACAUGCUAUAGGACAUCUAAAGUGCAUCUAACUUACAAAAUACAUGUCUAAUUUGCAAGAUAAGUUUCCCAGGUGUGCACCAUAUAUCCAACUUAUACUAUAAGUGGUCAAUAUGUUGAUGCGUGGCCUCCUUCUUGGCCAAGUUUUCAACCUAUCAAUCACCUAUAGAUAUGUAUGAAAGCAAAGCAAUAUCUAUGAAGCUUUUAGGAAGCUUUUCACAAGAUAUUAUCAUAUUUAUCUACUUUGACUUACUUCUACCUAUUCUUAUUAUCUAGAUAAUUAUCAAGAUAAAUAUGUAUGUCUGUGAUACCUAUGCAUGCAUAAAAUCCAAAAUCUUUAAAUAAAUCAGGAUAUUAGUUUUAAACUACAUAUAGUCUGGCAUUGUCAUAGGGCCUAUAUGUGCUAAACUUUAUUGGGAUACCACAUAGGAAAGGCUAUAAGUUUCUAAUCUUAAAUUACAUACUUAUGAUUUUUUCACAAAACUAAUAGCAAGCAGUAUAGUCCCAAGACAUGAAUCUUAAAAGAUCUUUUUUUAAUACCAAGUUGUAGAAACUUAAUUUUGUAAGGAUGGAGUCUAGUAUCCUAACAAACAUUGCUAAAUGGACUCCAAGAUUACUAUAACCAAGAAAGGCUUCUUUUAAUAGUAUAAUAUAUGCCAAGUAUGGUAAUAUAUUCAAGUUGAUCUAUAACAAAAUGUUCCUUAUUACUUAGAUGAGAUUAUGUGACAAUCAAAUUAUAGCAAUAUUUUAUUAUAAGUAGAAGAUGAUACUACUUAGAAAUAUUAUAUUUCAAAUGGCUAUUACUUAUAGACAAAAAAAAGGUAUAAGAACUUGAAAGAAUCUUGAAGAAACUAUUGCAAAAACUUAGAACAGUUUGAAAAUCCUACACCAUUACAUAUGAAGAUAAAGGACAAACACGUAACUUACAAAAAUUCUAGAUAUUAUGUUGUAGUAUCCAAGAAAAGCUCAACCAUAUUUAACUAUAGAAUAGUAGAAAAUUGAUAUUUAUGAUUCUAUUGUGGAGAUUUUUAAUAUAUUCAAAAUUUAAAAUGUAACAUUAUAAGAAGACAAGUACAUUGUCAAUGCUUCUAAAGAAUUAAGAUAUGCCAACAUAGGUCUAAUUCACCUUGAAGAAAAUAAAGUCCAAUGAGUCCAUAUUAUAUCAUUUAUAGGAGCAAAUGGAGUAUUCAAAGACUAUAAUUUCUUACAAAGUCUGAUACAAGUUAUAUACUUAAGCUUAUGGGUGACAAAUCUAUUUGCCAACUACCAUUGGGCCUAGCAAAUUAGACUUAGAAGAGACAAGGAGUCCUCUCGAGCACCAUACUUUUCAAUUAUACUAUUAAAUGUAUAUAUAAAUACUAGAAUAAAUCCAUUGCAAUAUUAACUAAAAGCAAAAGAAUCAUAUAAGAACACAACUUCAAUAACAGCAAAGAAAAGUAAUUCUACUACGACCUUCAGUAUUUAUGGCUCUCAAAAAAAGUCUCAACUAUACAAUAGUUAAUAUUUGGAUGUAGAAUUCUAAUAGGAGCAUAGCAACAAGUGAUGCAAAAAGACCUUUACUGCUGUCUCUACAAUAAUGAUUCUAUCAAAAUAAUACUAAGUGUAUUUUUAAAGUGUUCUAUGACCACCGCAUUGUAAAAAUAUAAUCAAUUAUGUACCUCAGUCCUACUUUCUCUCCUCAGUAGUUGAAAUGAGGUUCUAUACAAAUUCCUUAUUUUAAAUACACCAUAUACUUUAGAGUUAAUACCCUCUAUUCAAGUUUCAUACAAUACUCAUCAACUAUUACUACAUAGGCUUAUAUUUUGAAAUAUAUGAUGUAAUCAAUGUUCAUAUAACAAAAAAAGAACUCCAUAAUACAUAAGAUUAGUGCUAUAUAAAGUAUGGAAAAUGAUAAUUUAUAUAAAAUUAAAAGUAUGGUGUAAUCUUGAAUAUUAUAAGAAUUUUUUUGAAAUAUAUGUUAUAAAAAAGAAACUAUUCACAGACAUAUGGACUACAAAUGAAGUUUUUGCAAAGAUAGCAACAAAAGAAUUAGCUUGGCAAUUAAUUCCUCUUAUAUUAUUCAUUUUUAAAGAUCUAUUAUGAUAUUACUAUAGCAAUUAGACCACUGCUUGAAAUACAAUAAGAUACCAUGUAUAAUAGCCCUCAAAUUCUUCUAGAGAUAUUCUCCAUUACAGUCUUAGAGAAGAAGCCUUUCUACAUAGCUUUAUACUAAACAAGAAGACACUAUAAUGUGAUUUACAACAACUCUUUGUAGAAAUCAAAAAAGAAUAUACUAGGAUAAUAAUCACAGAUGGACAAAAAAGUAAAGAAACCUCUACCUUAUGUCAACGCCUUUAACAAUAUAUACAUUGAUAUCAAACCAUGAUAAUAUGAAAUUUACAGCUCCACAUUUGUUCAAAAAUGGAAGUCAUAAAUAUGAUAGAUGAUGAUUUAUUUUAAUUAAUUGAUAGUAUUUAUAAAAGUAGGCAAGAGUUUUGGAAGAAGCUUAAAAAUAUGGAUAACCAUGAUAUAGAUAUACACUUACAAGAAAUAAAAUUUGAUAAGGCCUUUACAACUAAAAUCAAUUUUAGUAACAAAAUAGACUAGACUUAAUUUUCUUGACUAGGUUUUAUAGUAAGAAACUCAGAUUGAAAACCAAAGAAUGUAAUACUAUAUUAUUGUAUCAAAUCAUCAUAUCUGCAAGAGUGUAAAUUCAUUUAUAAAGCAAGUACAUAUUUGUUACCUCAUAUGCAAGAGGUAUGGGAAUUGAUACCUCACUUUUCUAUAGCUUCUAUACCUCAAUUAAUUAAAAGGUAGAAUAAAAUUAGGUCAAUUGGUUAGAGAUAGUGCUCUAUAAAAAUUGAAGCAAAAAAUUCACCUUUUAAAAAAUAUAAUCUCUCUUAAAUUUUGAAUUUUCAUUAAUCCUCAUAUUAUAUGAAAUUUUCAAAGUUCCACAUGAGAAAAAAUAAAAACAAACAACAAUACCAAAAAACAUGGGACUCAUCUAAUAAAGAGCUUGAAAAGACACUGACCUCACUAGAGACUCACACCCAAGACUUCAAUCUAGUCCACUCAAACAAACAGGGGACAAAAUCAAAAUAAUCCCACUAGAUAAGAUGAAACUUCUACAACUCUUACAACAGAGAUCCUAAGAGGAAACUAAAUGCAUUGGCAAAUCUCAUCUAUGACUCUAAAUCAAGUCUUUUAAACAAGCAAUAAGAAAAAUUUAAAUAAUAUGGUAAGAAAAAUGACCUACAAUUCUUGCAACUAGAUCAUCCUUGUUUCAAGAAGCAAUAGAUUACAACACAUCCAUAAUUCAAAGAAACUUAUGGAUAGUCCUAAAGAUCCAAGAAAAAUACUUGUCAACUACAAUGAGGCAUAUAAUUCUAAUCUUUGUAUAUAAAAUUCACAAACACGAUAUUGAAAUACUUAUGAGAAAACAAAAAGGAUAUGAAAUUCACCUAUGCACUACUAACAUCUAAUAAAUAGAAGAAGAAAAAUUUUGGUCUACAACAGGGACACAAUUCUAUAUGACAACUAUAAUAAUGCUUGCCUUAUGCAACAAAAUCAUUAACUAUAACAAUGGUCACAAUCCAUUAUAUUAAUAAAACAAUAUCACAUCAAAUGGACAAUAAAAUAACAAAAAAACUUAAUUGAUUUGCCAUCAUUCCAUUUGAUGCAAUAAUAUUAAAGAUCAAAAGAUCCAAUCAUACAUAAUAGAAUUCAAUAGCCUUACAAACCAAGGAAAAUUUUGAAGAUACCUUCUUAUAUCAAAUACAAGCAAUCAAAACUAUAGAAUAAAGAGAAUAGCUAAAAAAAAAAAUAACUCAUAUUGAAAUCUUAGAUAUCAAGUAUAAGAAUUUUUAGUUCAAAUUUUAUAAAUAGAUAAGAAUCAAUCUUAGGUACAGUAUACAAACUUUAAAUAUUAAUAUAAGAAGAGUAGGAGCACAAAGACAAAAUAUAAAUUUACACCAAUAUAAAAAUUGUGGAUCAAAAAUAUUCUAGUUCACGUCCCACAAUUACAUUAGAACUAAUGUAGAAUGCAGCUUAUAAAUUCCAGACAUCAAUUGAUGUAUGAUUCACUUAUAAUCUUCUCAUAUAAUAUCAAGUGCCUAAAAAGAAAAGUGGAUAGUGUACAAAAAUACUGCAAGAUAAAAGAUUUCUUUCUAAACUUACAUUCUAAGCUAGAUAUUAAUGCCUUACAAAAAAAUUAGGUUGACAUAAGAAAAAUACAAAAAAGGACUAAAAAAUUCAACUUCUUAAAAAGCGCCAUCUUUUGGAACAAAGCCUGCUAUUCAACCUACAAAAAUAGCUAUGCAAGUGGUACUGCAAUUAUUACUUUUGAGAGAAUUACCAAUUCUAUUUGCAAACAUGGAAUUAUUAUGAAAGACUACAUAUAAUUCAUGAUUUUUUUCAAUUCAAUUUUAAAAAAAUAAAACUAUUAAAUAUUUAUAGAUAUAACUAUAUAAGUGUAAGAUCCUACUUAUAGCAAAAAAUUGUAAUAUUUUUUUUUUAAAAGCCAAACGGAUCAUAAUGGACGACUUCAACUCUAUCAAAGACAUAUCAAAUAAAUUUGAAGGCAAUCCUACAACUAGCAAAGGCAUAAAAAUAAUAAAAUCUUGAACCAAUAUGUUGAUUCAAUUAGAUCUAUUAGAUAUCUUUUUCAUGGAAGAAUUUUGAUAUAUAAAUAAAAAAAAAUAUACAUAAGAUAAUUGAUGCUCUUAUUCAAACAUGAUAGGUACUAGAAUAGACAAAUCAUAUAUUUCUUCAAAAAUCUUAGAAAGAGGGGAAAUAAUUGGAAUAUAGCUAGUCCAUAUGUCUAUCUUUGAUCACUUACCAAUUUUCCUCAAGAUUAAAUAUAAAGGCCUUUUCUUCCUCCGAUAGUCUUCCUUUGAUAAGAAAUAGCUAAAUAGCAAAGAAGACACGCCUUUACUAAGCCGAACAUAGAAAAAAUCCACACAACAUUAUUCAACUAACACUUAAGCAAGCAAAAUUGUAGCUCCUUUAUUAACAAUUUGUAAAUGUAAUGCAAAUGAAUCAAUAAAAAAAAUAAAAGAAUGGAAGCUCAUCUAUCAGCAACAAAUCAAAAAAAUAUAGGCUACAAAACUCUACCUCUAUGACAAUUGGAACAAUCACGUUAUCUGCAAAACUCUUAGCAUAGUACAAUUGAGAUUAUAUGAAGUCCACUAUACAUGUUGAAUGAAACUUUUUGAUCCAACAAUAGAAAAAUAGAUUUAGCUUGAUGAUAGAUGCAACAUCAAAUUCUUUACAUAUUACAACAAGAAAAGCAAAUAAGGCUACAUUUUUGAAUUCAACUACAAUAGUACAAUCCUAAUGCAGCAAAUAAAUAUAGCUUCAUUUGCAUAAUAAUACCAUUAAGCGAUCUACAGUAGAGAUUCAAUUGUUAGGAAUAAUAAGACAACUCAAGAAGAUUUCCUUAUGAGCAUUCUAAAAUGAGUUAAGUCAAGCCGUAAUGAAGAACUAGAGAAAUAAAUCAUACUACUAGAGUUUACAGUAGCUGCUUUGGAGAUUUCAACAAGAAAAAUUUUAAGAUUGUACAUUAUACCAACUGAGUUUUUUUUAACUUUGUUGGCCAUCAAUCCAAGGAGAUAUGCUCAACUUCACUUGUAAAGUAAUGACCAAUAGAGUAUUAUUGCAAGAAUUGAAUAUCAAUAGUAUAAUCCUUAUUUUGAAACUUAAAGAAUUAACAUUAAUAAAAAAUUUAUGUCUUAUCUCCCUUCUAAGCACAAUCUAUAAGAUUAUAGCCAAAAUGUAUGUAAAUUGAAUACUUUGAUAUCUUUCACAUUGGAUUUAAUAAUUAUAAAUGAAAUUUGUAGUUGAUUGAUGUAUCUUCAAUAACAUAUAUCUAACGCUUAAAUCAAUAGAAUGAGCAAAAGAAAACAAAUAAGAACUUGUACUCAUACUACUAAAUUUUAAAAAAGCUUUUGAUUGGAUUAACUAGAGAUUUUUAGAAGCAACCUUCACCAAAAUCGUAUUCUCUAACUCUUCAAUAAGUAUGGUCAUGGCUUUUAAUAGAGAAGCCCUAGCCAUUGUGAAAGAAAAUUUUAUUGCUCAAUUUAAAUUAUAAGAUGGCAUCAAUUAAGAUAGCUUGUAAUUGGUGGUAUAAAGUGGAAGUAGAAAGAAUAAGAACAAAAGAUGCACAACACAAAAUAAGUAAAAGAAGUGCAAUCAAGCAAUUGUACACUACAAAACUAAUCAUAUUUUAUUUAUUAGAUUUUUACUUAAUAAAAAAUAAAAAUAAAAAAUAAAAAAUAUAUUUUUUAAUAGAUAAUAUUUUUAUCUUUCUAAUGGUUUAAGAUUCAUAUAAAUUUGAGUUACUAUGAAUAAAUUAUGAAGGUUUAAAAAUAAUAAAUAAAUAAAUAAAUAUUAAGUAAAUGAUUUUUAUCUCAAGCAUAAUUUAUUUAAGAGAUCAAGAGUUUGAGCCUCACCAAGGCUCACAAGUAGUGUAUAUGGAUAUCUAAGAGAGGUCACGAGGCUUUAGUAUUAUCCUCCUAACUACCUUCAAGGCACUACAAUCCAUAUGGAACUUAUGCACAUCCUUUCUUAUAAAGACUACACUUGUUUCUUGCUUCUUGCUUCUGGUCCUCCUGUUUUCUACUAAUAAAACUAAUAUUUUACAUUUUUGAAUUCACCAUGGUAUUUAAAAAUAUUCAAUUAUCCUAAGAAACUUUUAUGGCUUUCAAAUCUUAUUCCUUUUCUUUUUAAUGGCUUCCAAAGUAGUAAAAUUCAUUUUUAUCAAAGUCUUGAAAAUUAUUCUAAAAAUUUCUAAAUAAAUUCUAAAUAAAUUAUAAAAAUUCUUAUAAUAUUUUUAUAAUAUUAAUAUAAAUUUAAAUCUAUAUUUUAUUACUUUUAUUAUUUUUUAUAGUAAUAAAUUCAAUUUUAAUCUAUUAUAAAUUCUACUUUCUAUAUAACUAAAUAAAAAGACAUGAGAUUCUAUUUCAUUCUUUUUCUAAUUACUAACUAAAAUUUAUAGUUUUUAUUAUAAGAAAUAUAUAUAGAUAAAAGGCCAAUAUAAAUAUUCAUCUUAAUAAAUAAUCUUUAAUACUUAAUAAUAAGUAAAAAUACUCAAUCAACUAAGAUGAUGGCCUUCAAGACUUACUAAGAUUCUAUUUCUAUAAUUAACAUUUAAAUUUUCUAUUUUUCUAACAAUUUCUAUACUACUCACUAUAUAUUAUUAUUUUAAGUACUUUAAAUACAUCUUUUUGUCUUAAAAUAAUUAAUAAACUGAUUUAUUGACCUACAUCUAUUAUCACAAUUAAUAGACAAAAUAAACACAUAUUUAAAAUAAAGAGAUUAAUUCACUAGAGAUGCCCCUUGGCACCAUAUUUCUUCUUAUUUGUAGUAAAUGUCCUUGAAUAUAUGCUAGACAAUCUCAAAUAGUAAGUACAAGAACUCACACUAUCAAAUAACUUAUCUUUAAGCAAUCAAAUAUUUGCAAAUGAUAUUGUAUUCUUCCUAAAAAGAACUGCUAAAAAUCUCUCAAGAGCAAUGAGAGCUCUAAUAUGAUUCUAUGAAGCCUCUAGAGCAAGGAUUAUUUGGCACAAAAUAUAUACAAUACAGGCAUUCGAACAUGAACAAAGUUGAAAUUCAGAAGAAGAUCUAAACCUAAUAUAGAAAAUAAUAGGUCAACCUACUAAGUAUCUUGUCUUUUCUAUAGGUUAUUGAUUAUCAACCAAAGAACAAAGAAAUAAAGUAGUACAAUAAAUUAUUAAGCAAUUGGUGAAGUAGAGACUCAAAAAGCUAUUCUUAAUUAAAAAAUUACCAGCAAUCAAUCAGAUAAUACUAUCUUUCAUGUAAUAUCUAAUAUCAUAUUUUAGUAUAGAAACUUAGAUCUUCACCUAGAUCUAUACUAUGAUCAAAAAUUAUUUAUAGAGUGGGAUAAUAAGUGGCAAAGGAAGAAUUAAGGUAAAAUGGGAUAUGAUAAUCCAAUCAACUACAUAAGAAGGACUUAAGAUAAUUGACUUUGUCACAUAAGCUAAGACACUCUUAGCAAAAUUGAUUGCUUAAGGCCUUACUUUUAAUCAAGAAUCAUAGAAAAUUAUUGUGAGACACAGAAUAAAAGCAACUAAAUUCAAAAAAAAUGAAUAGUGAUAUCCUAACUAAUAUUAGUUGAUAAAAAAGAGCUUACAAGUGCAUCCACAAGGAUCCAACUUGUGAAGAAGUGCGAAAGUGGCAUGGAGCAACAUACAACACAAGUUAAUUCUUGAAACAAGUUUGGAUUCUUUAAGAUCUAAAAUCUUACCAACUCCAUAAUAUAAAUGAUUUUGACACAACAUAAGACUAUGCACACUAGAACAAAAUUGAAAGUAACUAAACUGAAUACAAACACGAAAGUAAAAACUAAGUUAAAAAUAAUAUAAUCAAAUAGAACCAAGUAAAAUGAAACAAAAAAAAAACAACCAAACUUUACUAAAAAAAAGAAUCUAAAUCCAUAUCUGACCAAAUGUCCAAAUGGCCUAAGUAAGUCUUAUUUAUACUUUGUUCAACUAUCUUAGAACUUUCUAAAAUAUUUCUAAUAAUGGACUCUACCAAGAUAACCAUCAUUUAAGAAGAUUUUAGAUGUGGAUUCUACAAUGAUAACUAUCCUAAGCCUUUUUAGAAGGUUUUAUGGUGGAUCUUACAUGAACCACCAUUCAAACCUCAAUUCUAGAAACUUCUCAAAAAUAACUCCAACUAUAUAUUUCUAUGUGCAAAUAAUACAAAUAUCCUAUCUAUACCAUGUUACACUUAAUUUCCCUCUACUAAUGUGAAACAUCUUUAAUUUGCUUCCAAUAAUAUUUUUAAAUGGUUUCUUAACAAUGAAUGAGGUCUUAUAUAUGUUUUCAUAUUGUAUUAUAGAUAGAAUCACCUUUAUAAAGAACUUUGUGAUGAAGUUACAAAUGUCCAUUGCCACGGUGAAGGUAGUAGUGUUCUAAAAUACUGCCUCCUUCAUACUCUUAUUGGUCAUCAAUCACAAUUGGUAGUGGUGGUGAUGGAUGUUGGUGUCCAUCCAAAAAGUGCCUUAAUUCAAUAUAAAACUCCUUAAGCUACAGAAUAUGGAAGAUUGGAUCAAUCCAAAUCUAAAGCAAAAACUCAAUGCAGUAUGCAAUAUCAAAAAUUACUGCAAAAAUGUGGAAAGGUCUAAGCUAUUGAAGUGCUAGCUUAUAGACUUGAGUUGAUGUAGCAAGUGAAAGAUUGGCAUUGGAGAAUAAUACUUGGUUACCCUCUCGGAAGGUCUUAUGUUGCUAAUGGUUGUCUGCACAUUCUUUUUGUCAAUUCAAUGCAAUAAAAAGAUAAUGUUGUAUUUUCUAUAAAGCCAUUAUAAGCCAAUAUAUAAAUUCCUCCAUAGUCAAAUUUUUUUAGUAUUAAUAGGACAAUAAAGAGUUAUUGGCAUAAUUGGAUAUAAAUCAAUAUUAAAGAGGAAUGGUGAAUGAUUAGUACUUGUUUGAAUAUUAUUAUUGUAGGCAAACCAUAAGGGCGUUAAAUAUUCAUUCUAGACAUUAUGAUGAACCGCUAUAAAUACUCAUAGCAUAUCUUCUAUAAUUUGAUUUGUAUGCUCUAUUUGUCCAUCUAUUUGAUGAUAGAAUAUCAUAGACAUGGCUAAUCAUGUGCCUAGUAGCUUAGAUAAGGUCUACCAAAAACUCUCCGUGAAGUGGGAACUUCAUCUAAAAUAAUGAUAUGAUGUAAUCUAUGGUGACAAAAGACAAUGUUGAAGAAGAUUCAUAGAAGUGCUAGGACAUCAAUAUCAAAUCAUACUACAAUCAAGGAAAAUUGCUUCAAGAGUUGGUACAUAUAGAUAGGAACUGCAGUAUGAUUGUAAAAUAUUUGCAGCAAAUAAGUAAUGAGAUCCAUAAUUACUUGAUCCCAACAUGCAAUAAGUAGUAGAAUUGGUUGUAAUAGCUCAAAAAAUAUUGUGUUGCAUACUAUGUUAUGUUAGCAUAAUUCACAAGAACAUAUAAAAGUUCAAACAUUAUAAUCCAAACCUAUCUAAAAUCAUGUCCUUGAGAUCCAUUCUAGAUUCUUCUUUCAUCUUAUGUGUCUAAAUAUUGGAAUGUUGUAUCUUUCUUGAAGUAUGCAUGUUUGAAGUAUAACAUCGUCAAGUACAUAAAUCCACUUCUUGAAAUAGAGCAAGCCAUCAUUGAGACAAUAAUCUCGAUAUUAGACAUUACGUACCUUCAAUUGAUUGAUAACCAUCUUAAAAUAAGUAUUGCUAUACAUAACUUUCUUCUAUUUUACUGUCCUUGUUAAGUCUAAAAUGACACUACUAAUAGUAGCGACUUCUGUCUUAUCAUUUGAUUUAAAUUUUAAGUCAAAUUUACAUGAUAAAGUGUUCAACAUAAUAUAUUAUUUUCCUUCUUUGUAUUUAAGUUGUAUGUCAAAGAAUUAUUGUAAGCACAAUUAAUAGCUCCAAUGAUUGGUUAUAAUCACUUUUGUGAUUUUUAACAUAUUUUUAUUAAUUUUAAUGCUAAUACGAUUAACUUAUAGAUCCAAAUUAGUUUUUUUAGUUAAUUAUGAUUUUAUUUUAUUUUUAGAUAGAUACUUCUAAUUAUUAGAUUGAGUGAUUGUUUAAAAUUCUAAAAAUAGUAACUUUAGAAGAUCUAUGAUUUUUUUUUAAAAUUCUCUUUUAGUAUUAAAAUUAAAAUUUUAUUAGAAUUUCUCUACAAAUUUUUAGAAAUUAUAUCUUGAAUUAAUCCACAAUCUUAGUUUUCAACCUCAAGGCUAAUUCCUAAUUUGACUAUGGUUAGAAAAUCUCUUAAGUCUAAUUGCUCUAUCUUCUGUCAAGAACAUGAAGUGAAAGAAGAUGCAUAAACUUGAGAAAUCUAAGUCAAAAAAAAAUGACAAAAUAGCAUUAAAGUAGUAUGUAUAUUAAAAAUAAACUAGAAUUGCUAUUACCAAAAGACAAGAAAAUUAGAAGCUCUUAAAUCUAGACAAGAAGCAAGAAAAGAAUUGACAAGAAAGAAGAAGGCUUCACUCUUGCCUCAAUAUAUACUAUCUAACUAGAAGCUAUGUGGUAAUGUUCUAUAUGACCUCUAAUAUGUGUUGACUUUGCAGGACACAUGCUUUAGCUUACAAGGCAAGUUUUCUAUGUAUGGGCUACAUAAUUAGCUUGUUCAUCAAGACACCAACAUGUGUAGUACAUGGCAAACUUGUUGACCACGUUUUUAAUCUAAAAAGUCAAUUAUAGACACCUAUAAAGUCUAUAAAGCUUCUAGAAAGUUUCUAUAGAAGAUAUUAUGGAAUUAACCUAUUGUUAUCUAUUUUUAUUUAAUCAUAUAGAUAAUUAUUGGUUUACAUGUAUUUGUCCAUGAUAUCUUCGUAUUUAAUUCUAAGAUUUUUUUUAAGCUUAAAUUUCAUGCCAUAAUUUAAAAUGAAUUAAAAAUAUAAAGUUUAAUUGUUAAAUUAAUGAUGAUUUCUAGAGAAUAGAGGUGAACUAAUUAUUUUAGUGGAAUUCCUCUUUUAGUGAUUAUAAUCACUAUUUGGAGUUGAAAAAAAAAAAAAACAAAAAAAAAAAAAAAAAAAAAUCACAAGUGUAUUGAUUCAAGGCAAAAUUACAAUUGGAUCUUAGAUUUACUAAGAGUUUAUAUUUAAAGAAGUUUAAAUUGAAGAAUAGUAAUCACAAUGGCUUUGAUGCUAAAAAUCCUUACUGAUCUCCAAAAAUACUGAUUAAAAUUAGAAUUAUAAUUAAAACUUACAACUAAAUUAAUAAAUUAAUUGAUUUUUAUGAUUUAGAAUUUGGAUUUGGGCUUAAGAAUAGUCAACUUCAGAAUAUAAAUAUGCUUUAGAAACAAUGGUGGUGCUAGUUUUGCCAAAAAGAUAUUAUUUUUUGAAUUAUAGGUAUUUCCAACCUUAAGAUCGGGUUUAGGUUUAGAAUGAUUAAAGACCCUUGAUCUUGGUUAGAAUGAUUCAAAAUUAAUAAAUCUAAUUUGGAUGGUAUAGAUGUAGCCACCACCCUUGGACUUGCUUCUACCUAAUUAAGAGGGCUUGGGUGGCCAAGCUCCCUCUCUCUCUUCUCCCUUUUAUAAGGCAAAGCUCUGCCAAAUAGUUUUUAGGCUUUUAAUUGAAGGAAUUUUCUCCUACCUUGUCAUUGCCUCGAUAUUUUUUUCUUCAAUCACUCAUUCUUUUAUUCUUUUGAGCAAUAUUUGGCACUCAUAUUUUUCUAGCUAAUAACUCUUUUUAGCACCUAAUCUGCUAUAUUAGUUCUUAUUUUUUUAUUAUCAUUAAUUAAUAUUAUUUAAUAAUUUUUAAGAAAUUUUCUCUUAUUCCAAUAAUUAAUGGUAAAGUUUUAUCUCUUCAUCCAUCUUUAUCUUUAAAUGAUAAAAAAAAAUAAAAAUUAAUCUUAUAUUUUUAUUUUCAUCUUUUAUUUUUAAACUUAAUUUAUAAAUUUACUUUUUACCUUUAAAUUUUUAUUAUGUUUAUUUUAAAUUCUUCACUCAAUUUUUAGUUAUUAAUUCUAACUUAAUUUUUUUUUUAAUUUAUAUUCAUAAUUUUCAGAAUUUAAGCUUGAUUAAAUAAUUCUUAGAAGGUAAUUAAUUAAUUAGAUCAUAAUGUUUAAGAAAUCAUAAAAAUUAUAUACUUUAUAUAUUAUAUUUGGUUGGAUUAAUUGUGAUUAUUAUACUAUUUUUUAUUUUAUUUUAUGGUUUAUGUGACCACAUUGGUUAAUAUUGAAUUUUGAUCUAAGUUAUAAUUGAAUCAAAUUGAACUUAACUAAAGGGGAAAAAAAAACCACUUAUAAUUGCAAUUACUCUUUUCAACAAUGAUGUCGUAUUUCAUAUUUUAUUUGAUUUCAUAUUCUCUAAAUAAAAUUUGUAUAGCAAGAAUUGGUAGUCAAUUCAAAUAGUCAUUGGCUUCCUCAAUAAAUAGUAUCACCACAUCUUUGUUCCAUAUACAAUUGCUAGUUGCUCUCCAUUACAUGCAAAAUAAUUGCACUCUGUCCUUCUGAGCUUGGAUAAUUCAUAUGCCACAAGUUGAAGGCUCCUAUCAAAGCCUUAUUGAAGAACCGUGUCAUUAGCAAAGUUAGAAGCAUCAAUAUUAAGUGUACAUAGAAGAUUGGGAUCAUAUAGUUGCAAUAUUAGAACAAUAAUCAAUGCCUCCAUCAACUCCUCAAAGGCCCUUUUUUGUUCCAAUUUCUAGUAAAAUGGAGCACCUUUUUUUAAUAAACUUAUCAAUAAGGCAGCAAUGUAUGCAAAUUACCAAACAAAAUGACAAUAAUAUUCAGCAAGGCUUAAGAAUGAGCGGACUUCAAAACAUCUUUGGAAGUUGGCCAAUCUUUCAUUCCUUUCACCUUGUCUUGCUCUAUAUGCAUACCUUCAAAGGACACUACAUGCACCAAAAAGGUGACCUCUAACUUCUAAAGUUCACACUUUGAUUCCUUACAAUAAAAGUGACUAUUAAUAGCUAGCACAACACUGUCUAUAGAUGUUACUCAUGCUCCUUAGGAGGUUUUACUAUAGACCAUGAUAUCAUCAAUUAAAACAACCACAUAUUCAUCCAAAAGGUUCUAAAAUAAUCUAUUCAUGUGAUCCUUAAAAGAUGUUGAAGCAUUAGUGAGGCCAAAAAGUAAUACAAGCCACUUAAAAUAUCCAUACCAUAUACAAAAUGCCAUCUUUUUAUAUCCUCUUUGAUAAUAGGGAUCUGCUAAUAAUCACUUUGAAGGUCCAAUUUACUAAAGAUAGUUGUACCUUGAAGUUGAUCAAAAAGAUUAUCCACACUUGGAAGUGGAUAUGCAUUCUUGACAAUCUACUUAUUAAGGCCUUGAUAAUCAAUACAAAGUCAAAAUCCACCAUCUUUUUUAGGUGUAAAGAGUACACAUGCUCUCCAUAGCGACGAACUUUUUCAAAUGAGGCCCUUCUCUAAGAAUUCAUCUAAUGACUUUUGUAACUCUUUAAGUUUAAUUGGUGCUAAGCAAUAAAUUGGCCGACUUGUUGGUUUGGCCCCAAGCAUUAAUUCCAUUUCAAAAAGGGCACCUUGAUCAGGUUGCAUGCCACUAGAUAAAUCAAUUGGAAAGACAUUUUAAUAUUUAUGUAUGAGUUGUUCUAUCUUUUGGCUAUCUUUUCCACCAUUGAAGCAAGAUUCAAAACCAUUAUAUAUACAAGUUGCUUAUGUCAUAUUUGCUUCUUUAUAAAGGUCAUUCUUACAAAUAAGCCUUAGCUACAAAUUGUUUUGCUAUCCCAGACAAUACAUAGGCAUAAAGAAUCACCAUGUGUCCUCCAUCUUUGAAAGAAAUUGUCCUUCCUAGUUAAUCAACUUAUUUAUUUUUUAUUUUUAGCCAUGGCAUAUCAAAAAUAAUAUCAUAUCUAAGCUUUGAUACUCUGAACUUCUCCACCAAGGCAUAAGUAUCACUCAACCUUAGGGCUUCUUCUUCACUUCUCUUAUUUAAUAUGUUUUUUUGGUCAUUUGCUUAAUAUACAUUCUCUCCUUUGAUCACCUUUGUUUCAAUCCCAAGUCGGUUGGCAAUUGUCAUCAAGAUGUAAUUAUUUGUAGAACCGCAAUCCACAAGCUCAACAUGGCUAUCUUCUUAGUCGACUUCUUAGACACACUAGUCAACCUUUUUGAUAGUUGUUCGAGGCUAUGCCAUUUGUCUGUGAGAAAUAUCAACUAUUCCUAAUACUGGCCUUUGAUGCCUUUAUCGGGGAGCCCUGUUUUCUUGCUCUUUUUCUUCAUCAACCUAGUGACCUUCAUGAUUGUGAGCUCAUCAUGAUUUGUUGGUGCUUGAAUUUUGACAUUUUGGACAAUCUCUGAUUUGAUGGCUUGACUCAAUAGUAAAAGCACAAAGAUGAAAUCCUUUGUGAAUUGAUAUGUAAAACCUUAGAAUAGUAGAUGUUGAGCUAAAAAUGUUAGGUCAAGAUACAACUAAUCAAUUUAUUCAAUGGUCAAGAAAAGAUAUAUACUUGCUUUUGGACAUAUGGAAUGAUUAUAGACAUGAUUGAUACACAACUACUUGGCUUCAACAGAGAAUGGAAAGCCAAUGUAAGCAUCUCCAACAUUAUCAAUUCUAGGGCUGCAUCCCCUAAAAUCCAAACUCAACACUUCUCUACUCUUCAUGGAAUUGAUAGAUGCCCUACAUCAGAAACUCUAUAAUAGAAUUAUUUCAAAUUCUUGAAAUAGAAGAAGGUAUACUUCUAGUAAUCAAAUAUAUUGUCCUUCUUUCAGAAAAACUAGAACAGGUAUACUAAGGGCAACUAUAGAUUGGCACCACUCCAAAGGAUUUGCAUAGCUAUCAAAAAUAAACAUCAAGAAGUCAUUGGAUUCAAACUCAUCAGCCCAGUCUGCUGGCUCCAAACACCUUAGCUAGCUGGAAAGUGCCCAAUACAACCCCUCAUGUUCGACCCAGCAGAAUGGAAAUGGCAGCGGCAAAAUCACUACAAAACAAGCUUUAAAUACAACUACACAUUGCAACAAGGCUACCAACUUGGCAUCACCGGAAGGAUGGCUCCUCUCAAAGGCGAGCGCAUACUUAGACAACACAACUUUGAUGAUACACAAUGCCAACAAUUCUACAAGAAGCUUUGGCAUCCUUGGCUCUCCAGAAAAUUUGCAGCCAUGUAUUGGCUCAAUCUCGUGGAAGGUCUCUCAAUGGGCCACUGAUGAAGGAUAAUGCAACUAGAUCCCUCUUGUAAACUGUGCAACCUAGGAGAAAGCAAAACCAUUCAGCAUGCCUUCUGAGACUGUCCGGUCAUUCACCUUACUUGGUCACAAUACAAUACACUACGCCAAAAGGCCUCUUGAAGCACUACAAGACUGGAUGGAGACGCUCUACGAUAAACUGGGUCCCACAACCUUAGCAAAUGAGAAAUCACUCACCGCAACCAUCCGCGUCUAAAAAUGAAACUCCAUGGUUCCUAUUUUGACAGAGACCGGGAACCGUUUCAUAUCGGCCAAGUUCUCUAUAAUAUCCUUAUCAUAAUGUCUUAGGGUUUCAUUAGAGAGUCAGUCGCUUUAGCAUCCAGAGAAGCAUACAAAUGGAACAGCAUCGUCAAGGCAACAAACUACCAAGUGAACAAAGGAUCGCAGCCCAACAACUGCAAUGGAAUAUAGUGAAUAGUCAGAAGGCCAAAAUCACUUCACACAACUCAAACAGACAUGUGGCAUUGUUGCACUCCAGGCCCUCGAGGCCCCACCAACGGUGUAGAACCCGAAACAUGCGUGACAUACGCGUGAGUUGUACGACACUUUGUACGUUUAACCGCGGUGCAAACUAAGGCUCAUGUGACUGAAACGCCCGUUCAGUAAGUGGGAGGUCCUGAGUUAAACCCGCAGCGAGAGCAGCGACCGUUCUUUUGUCCGUUGCAAGGAGAGUAUCACUCACACUCCAUCACCUCCACGCACCGCAAUUCCCUUUUUUUGCGUGCUUUCCGCUGCUUGUCGAGGUGUUGAUUGGAAAACCCACUUGGGAUCGAACAUUUUCAGGAAAAUUUCUUGUGUUGAUUUUGUACUUCUGUGAACAGUAGAGGGUAUGCAUGACUGCCAGCAUUUGUUCUCAGGUUCUUAGGCUUUUCAACGAGUUUCCAGUUAUUUGUAUUUUUCAUGAUUCAUGAAGACCUGUGGGUAGUCGUCAGAGUUAUGGAGUGGUAGAAGCUGUGGAGGGAAUUCAAUACUCGUCAACUACAUCUGCGAUGUAACACAGUUUUAGAUUCCGAGAGCCAUAACCUGUUCAUUUAGCUCCCGUGUGUAGAGCGGUAACCCCAGAGACUUAUAAAAAUCAUUCGACGAAAACACCGUCGAGAAUCGAAGAGGUGGCUGCUGCUUUCUAAGUGCAAUUGCGAGACUUACCACCUAACUGUGUUUGAAAUUCUGUUUCCGCUUCGACACAACCCAAGAAAAGCGAAUCUACCUAUCCGAAUUGUGAAUUGCUUGAGAAUGUCUCCUGUUAUCAUACACAUGGUAAGAGGGAUUGUUGCUAAAGUCGUGAAUAUUGAAGUACACAGAGGGUGCGUUCAGUCAUGGGCGAGAGAGCCUUCUUCGAUCAUUAAUCUCGAACCCACCAUAAAGACUACCAGCUAGGCAACAGAAAAGAAUUCGUCAAAACAAGAGGUGGACAAGACCAGCAAAAGCAGCAAGAACCGCGAGAGACGAACAGCGGGCAGCGGAGCACGUGUGAGGUGAAGGCGAAAGAAAAGCAUGGAAAGGAGAAAUGCAACCCAAAAUGUGAAACAAAGUGAACAGAGAUGUCGGUGGUGGAAAUCAGGAACUUGGUAAAGUCACGGAGCGAGACCCUGCUACAGCUAAAAAGACAGAAUCCAACAAGGAAACUAUAAAAAGAUAUCAUCACAUCGAAAGUAUCGCAGUCUGAUACAGCUCGCAAAAAUUGCCAAAAACGGCCAAUAAAACCCGUUGGCCCCGUCAUUCUUUCCUCAUUGACG